UACGUAGGGACCGAGCGUUGUCCGGAUUCAUUGGGCGUAAAGAGCUCGUAGGCGGCCACUCAAGUCGAAUGUGAAACCUCGAGGCUCAACCUCGAGCCUGCAUUCGAUACUGGGCGGCUAGAGUCUGGUAGGGGGAUCUGGAAUUCCUGGUGUAGCGGUGGAAUGCGCAGAUAUCAGGAGGAACACCGGUGGCGAAGGCGGCAUCCUGGACCGGCAUUGACGCUGAGGAGCGAAAGCUAGGGGAGCAAACGGG
This 253-nucleotide ribosomal RNA is filed under the name uncultured bacterium. RNAcentral describes it as "partial 16S ribosomal RNA". It matches the Rfam family "Bacterial small subunit ribosomal RNA", at positions 524 to 776 of the family's 1533-position model. The record is from RNAcentral.